ACAUCUGUGGGAUGGCAGGCAAUGCCAGAUCUCCCAGCUCCAAAGGCAGGACUGAAACAGGCUGAUUUCUGCAGGUAACACUACAGAAACCAACCUGGGUCCAGCUGCCUCCCAGGUUCCCUCCCAUACAAACAAUUUCAGGGGAGGUGAGAUUGCAUGACAAAUUCAAUUAGAGAUAAGCCUGAGGGGGGAAGAAGCUGUCAAAACAGAUGAUUAAAAUGAAUGCAGUUUACAGCCAAGGGAAGCAACCAGCAUUAAGUCAUGCCCACAAGCAAGGGAAAAUAACAUGCUAGAAACUAAGAGAGCUUCCAGAGGAGCUUCUGUCUGCACCUUCCUCAGUGUCUUCUCACAUUUGCACCUUGCCAGACCUCUGCAUCAGCCCAGCCACAACAGACGUCUCCAGAAGUGCAGAGAAGACAAUUGAUGCCUGCUUGACAGGAGGCAUCUACUGAUUCCCCAGGGCCUCCUAGGGAGUACUGGAUGUGGACCACUUUCCUGCGCUGAGAAUUCCCACACCAGACCUCUGACCUCAUGAACAUUUUAGAGCUUUUUUGCUCUUUCACCACUUCAUCCUUCUAAUGCAAGUAGUGCCUGGCACCCAGGAGGGAACAAGCCUGUGGUUUUGGAGGACUUUUUUGACCUUCCCACUUAGGGCUUUGCUGGCAGCAGAGGCAGAUGUGUCCUGAUGAUAACUUAUUUCAAUCUGCAGAGUGAGACUUUCCUGUGCAUUUAGAAAAGGACAGAGUUUUGGGUUGAAAAAGCCAAUGUAUAUAAUUAACUGAAACUGUAAAAACUGCCAUAGAAAGUGGCUGAAUUAAUGUUUUCAGGGGCAUUUGGAUUCACUAUUAAACAGCUAACAAAAGAAUUAGAGAAACUGGAUGGCCUGGAUGGGAUGGACUUCAGCCACCUGAACAAAGACCACAUAAAUUGUCACAUCAGCUGUGCACAUAAAUAAAGGCAGUUUGUCCCUGGGCUUAGGUCUCUACUGAUGGCUGAGGAUUCAAAAGAGACAGGUAAUACAGGCCCUGUUUUAAGGUUGCAUAUGAGUAAGGUAGUGUAAAUUGUCUCAUCUUCACAGUCUUUCCAAGGUUCUCCAUUUCCUUUUUUCUGUUCCCACAACAGAAGUUCAGAACAAAGGAGGAAUUGGAAAUGUCAAAAUAGCUGUUUCUUUCACUAUGCUGUAACUAGACAGAGGAAGCUUUAGAGGGAGGCAGGGAGGAGAUAGCAAAUGUAUUCACAGGGCAUAAUGUAUCACCUCCAAACAAUGAGCCCAAUUUUAUGCUUUUCAGAUUUUUUGAGAUGAAUAUUUGUGGAUUUUACUAUGUAAAAUAAUAUACUUUCCCCCUGUACAUUCAUUCUGUUUGUUUUUUUUUUCCUUGUUUUCUUUUAGUGCAAUAAGACCACUGUUGGCAUCUGACUUGUUAGAUUUCAACUCGAGGUUCAACUACAGCGCAGAAUUUUAUAAUGACAAGGUCUGGCCCAGGCUAACAAUACAGCUGGGCUCCCCCCUCAACCUGUACUAAGCACAGGGUAGGUGAAAGUCUGUGGUUCUCAAGCAAUAUUGAAGUCUCAAACACAAUUUCAGCCUUGCCAUGCAAACUGACAGGGAAUUCACAGCUGCAUGCUCAUUUAAAAAAUCUCCCCACUGCAGGCAUCAAAACCUCAAGGCCAAAUUUCCUCUGCAUGCUCCCACCCUGGCACCGACAUGGUCCCAGAGCUGCAGAAAACACAAUCUCUCUCUGUCUCCAGGCAAAACCUCUUCCACAGCCCAAGUUACACAGGUCAGUCUUUUUACUAGGUUAUUAAAGAUAUUCUGGUUGUCUGUUCUGCUUUAUUGCAUCAGCAAUUUCCUUUCCAAAAUCCAGUCUUUUCACUUGGCUUCUUAUUUAAUUUUCCAAAUAAUUUCCACCAUGCUAUCAGGAGAAACUUCACAGUGCAGCCACCCACGUUCCCUCUCCAGUGCUGCAUUCCUCCCUGUUGAGGAUGGACAGGUGCUUUCAGAUGCACCACAGAGCCACAGAAAGCAGGACCGCUCCUGUCCAGAUGAGGAUGAAAAUAGGUACCUGUCCUGGCAUGUGGCCCAACUCCAGAGUGUGAUUUUGGAAGGGAGAGGGGGAUAAUCAUACUGGGUUUCUAAGGAAUGUCAUCUAAAGCAGGACCUUACACUGACAUCACAUGGGGACAACACCGCAGGGUUUCUCAGCAAACAUCUGAUAUAGCAUAUAAGGGAGGAAUAUGAUAUUUUUGGGGGGGAAAGGGGGAAAAGGCAAGAAAUCCUAUUCAGAACUAGAGAGUUCAACAAAUGAUUUCUGCAAAGAAAAAUGCUAUUCUUUUAAUGCCAGCACCUUUUAGUUGUAGGACUUAAAAGAGUUUGGGGUUCUUUGUUAACCACUUGGACUGAUGCCCAACAGUUGUUUUCAUUUAUCCUCGACAUUCUCAACUGCUCCCAUUGAAGUGAGAUAAAGUAGCAGAAAGAAAAAUAAACGGGGCUUCUUUCUCCCCUCUUUCCCCAGCCGCUGGGGUCACUGUUGUGUCUUGCUCUCCGGAGCUCUGUGUGGGUGCCACACAAGAGGCAGGGGGAGGCAGGAAGGACAGGCUGUGGCUGUGGUGAGGGGCUCCCAGAGCUCAGCUGCACCUCCCAGCUCUGCUCCAGCCUUCCUGCACUGCCUUUGCCAAGUCACUUCACCUCCCCGUGCCUCGGUUCCUCAUCCGAGAAAGGCAAUAUCGCUUCUUUUUUCUCAUCUUGAUCUCUUCUCAUCUCUAGCUUUGCAUCUG
Molecule: non-coding RNA, 2775 nt
Organism: Cyanistes caeruleus (blue tit)
Lineage: Eukaryota; Metazoa; Chordata; Aves; Passeriformes; Paridae
Source: RefSeq, a predicted model, not a curated record